This 254-nucleotide ribosomal RNA is filed under the name uncultured bacterium. RNAcentral's name for it is "partial 16S ribosomal RNA". It matches the Rfam family "Bacterial small subunit ribosomal RNA", at positions 524 to 776 of the family's 1533-position model. The record is from RNAcentral.
UACAGAGGGUGCGAGCGUUGUCCGGAAUCACUGGGCGUAAAGGGCGCGUAGGUGGCUUCGUAAGUCCGUUGUGAAAGUCAAAGGCUCAACCUUUGAAAGCCGAUGGAUACUGCGGAGCUAGAGUACGGAAGAGGCGAGUGGAAUUCCUGGUGUAGCGGUGGAAUGCGCAGAUAUCAGGAGGAACACCAAUAGCGAAGGCAGCUCGCUGGGACGUUACUGACACUGGAGGCGCGAAAGCGUGGGGAGCGAACAGG